UCUCUCUCUCUCUCUCUCUCUCUCUCUCUCUCUAUAUAUAUAUAUAUAUAUAUAUAUAUAUAUAUAUAUAUAUAUCAGCCACAACCCUAAAACUUUUUUCGAUUUCACUCUGGUUAAGGUUAGGGCUGAACUGAAAUUGAGACUUUCACUCUAAAAUUGGGGAUUUCACUCUAAUUAGGGUUAUGCUUCCUUGCUUGCUUAGGUACUUAUAUUUGCAGUAAUUUGUGGGAUUAUUGUUUGUAACUUCAAGCAAUUUUGAUUUUCAGAGAGACCAGCUGAGGAUUUUGUAGGAAACUUUGUAUGAGCAAGUGCCUGGUAGCGAAAUGGCAGCUUUGUGGUGGUAUGAGUUUAAAGGUGGUGAAAGAGUUGCCUCAAGUGCAAGAGAGAGAAGCAACAGGGGGAAGAUUUGGCAGUGGUGGGCAUGGCGGCGGUGGGUGUGCCUCAAUUGCGUGAGAGGGUGAAGAAUGCAAGCAUGGAAUGCUAUAAGAUGGAAAGAGAAUAUGGUUUCUACAACUACAAAGCAGUCAAGAUGCCGAAUGAUUUGGUGGCAAAGAAGAGCGGAAUGAUUUGAUAGCAAAUAAAAUGGAGAUGUAAAUCCUAGGCGAAUUUGUCUUACAAUUGAAAAGUUGAAUAUUGGAAUGUAGCCUCUCUCUUUUUGUGUUUGCAAAUGAGGUUUAUACCAUUAGAGGAGAAUGUACUCUUAUUUAUUUGGAUAUGAAUGAUAUUUAUCAUGAGAAUGUAUUCUAAUGAUAUUUGUCAUGAAUGGAUAAGUUGGCAAAGGAUUUUAGCUAUGAAUAUGGCUUGUGAAUGGUGAUUUAGAAUGAGAAA
Rhododendron vialii is the source of this 828-nucleotide long non-coding RNA. RefSeq lists it as uncharacterized. The transcript is spliced from 2 exons. Lineage: Eukaryota; Viridiplantae; Streptophyta; Magnoliopsida; Ericales; Ericaceae. The record is from RefSeq and is a predicted model, not a curated record.